GAUAUUCAUGGAUUUCUUGUCUCUUUGAUUCUUCACUUGAUUUUGCCCAUUUCUCUACAUUACCUAGGAUUCAUUGUUAAGUAUGUGAUCUUUUAGGUUAUUGCAUGAUUCACUUCCAGUUACAAAUUGGUUUUCAUGUUCUUAAUUCUUUAUUUUGCCCAGGAGUGCAAAAGGCUAAGUGUGGGGGUAUUUGAUGAGCAAUAUUUUACCCAUUUUAUAUAGCCUUAAUUUGUCAUUAUUAAUGAUUAUUCGUAAUUAAUUGACCUUGCUUGACAGAGAUUUCUAUUAU
This 289-nucleotide long non-coding RNA is filed under the name Lotus japonicus. RNAcentral's name for it is "long non-coding RNA (LJAP_LNC000877)". Lineage: Eukaryota; Viridiplantae; Streptophyta; Magnoliopsida; Fabales; Fabaceae. The record is from RNAcentral.